CUCCUUUGACGUUAGCGGCGGACGGGUGAGUAACACGUGGGUAACCUACCUAUAAGACUGGGAUAACUUCGGGAAACCGGAGCUAAUACCGGAUAAUAUUUCGAACCGCAUGGUUCGAUAGUGAAAGGUGGUUUUGCUAUCACUUAUACCGAUGGACCCGCGCCGUAUUAGCUAGUUGGUAAGGUAACGGCUUACCAAGGCGACGAUACGUAGCCGACCUGAGAGGGUGAUCGGCCACACUGGAACUGAGACACGGUCCAGACUCCUACGGGAGGCAGCAGCG
Molecule: ribosomal RNA, 283 nt
Filed under: uncultured Staphylococcus sp.
Lineage: Bacteria; Bacillati; Bacillota; Bacilli; Caryophanales; Staphylococcaceae
Description: partial 16S ribosomal RNA
Rfam family: Bacterial small subunit ribosomal RNA
Source: RNAcentral